Molecule: long non-coding RNA, 407 nt
Organism: Homo sapiens (human)
Lineage: Eukaryota; Metazoa; Chordata; Mammalia; Primates; Hominidae
Source: Ensembl
UGUGGAAGAAGGCCAGAAACAGCUGCUUCCUAAUUAUGAGGAGCAUGAACAGGGCUUCCCCUGCACAGGCGCUCUCUCUUUGCCUGCUGCCAUCCAUGUAAGAGGUGACUUGCUCCUCCUUGCCUUCCACCAUGAUUGUGACGCCUCCCCAGCCAUGUGGAACUGUAAGUCCAUUAAGCCUCUUCUUCCCAGUCUCAGAUAACUACAGUUAUUUCUUCCUGGUUAAAAGCAAGCCUCCAGAAUCAGACACAACAGUGUCCAAAUAUUUACUCUGCAACACAAAACUCAAGACUGAAAUCAAGAUCAGUUACAUUUAUGAUGUGAUUUGAAUGAUCCUUGGAAGGUACAAGCUGCAAAAAUUACAUCAGAAUAUUUGUUUACAAAUAAAAAUAUAUAUUGGGAAUGUG